AGGUACACAGGAUGUAUGUAGGCUUGCUACGGGUCCCGGCGGCCUUAAGCCGAUCUGGAUCCUAGCGCCGGUAACGGGUCGGAUUUCCGGGUCGUUACAAAAAGGAUGGAGACAUUCUCCUAUGGAUCAUUAAGCAUGCCAAAGCUAGAGAAGGUUAUGAUAAAUGAAAGGCGGCAUCAAUUAAUGGGAUCUGAUCCAAACCUUAAUGCAAAAAUGAGUGAGUUAUUAAGAGGUAUGAUUCAUUUCCUCAUGCCUUUAUUUAGAAUGGUAAAUUUUUAGAGAAUUCAAGUGAAUUAUUUUUUUUUUUUAAUUUUUGUGUUUAGAAAAAUUAAGAAUAUAAGAACUCUUUAAAAUUUUUGUGAGAAUUGAUUUUGAAUUAAAAAGUAAAUCUUGUAAGAAUUUUAUAAUAAAUGAUUUUAUUUAAAUUUAUUUGCAUUAAAAUUACUUAAUUAAGAACUCCACUUUUCUCUUCUUUUAUUCUAUUUUUUGUUUAUUUUUUUUAAUUUAAUUUAAUAUUUAAUAUAUUUAUAAUUGAUAUGGACAAUUUUAUUUUAUUUUUUUCUUAAAUUAUCCAUCUUAAUGUAAUUUUUUAGUAGUAAAAAAGUAAUGUAAAGAUCAUAUUUUAAAUAUUGCAAAAUAUUAAUAAUGGUGUUCAAAAUUAUUUUCAAUAUGAUAAAAUGAUUGUUAUUUAUGAAAUAAAUAUUUAUAUUUUAGUUUAAAAAUAAUAAGGAUAAUAAAAAAUAAAUUAAUUUAAAUUUAUUAUUAAUUUGUUCAAAAUAAAAUAAAAUCAAUUGAAUUCUAUCAUUUUAAAAUUUAUUUCAAACAAAAAAAUUUUUCUAUAAAUAGAAAAAAAAUUGUAUUCUAAAGAAGGGGAAUAGAUUUGACUCUUCCUCUAUCUAAGCAUUGCUUUUCUUUAGUUAUCAUAUGUCUUUUGAAAUUGUGAAUUUAGUUUUAUUGGUGAAUAACCCACACUUGUAUAAUCUCAGGAAUAUCUUAUAAAUAAUUAAAUAUGAUAAAUAAUUUAUUUGUUACACAAGAACUUGAUGCCACUGGCAAUGGUGAUUUUGAUUAUUUCAAAUUUCAGAUAGAAGGGUAGCUGAGUUUGAGUGGUGAAGAGGAAAGUGAUGAAGCUGCUUUUAAUGGAGAAUAGCAUUGGGAUCAAGGUGUUCAAUGAAGAUUGAAGAUUUAGGAUUUUUUUUUUCUCUCAGUCUUGAAGUUGAAAAAACUAAAUAAUUUCCUUCUCCCGUGAUUUCUCAUCAACAAAAUUUCAUAAGUCGCUUAUAAAUUCUGGAGCUGGCUUUUAUUUUUUGAGUCUUGAAAUUCUAAGGCAGGUGUGAAAUAGCUUUGCUGCUAUUAAAGACAUAUGAAAGAUUUGUUCAUGUUAUUGUCAUGCUAUGUUUAGUUCUUUUUCUUAGUUUUUCAAUGGGACGACAGACAAUUAUGUCCAUAGUUCAUAUGGAUUGUCUAUCAUUAGUAAGGUAACUUCUUUGUUUUAUUUUAUUAUUUUGUGGUUACUAGUUGUAUAGCGCGUGAAAUUGUUUGGUUCAA
This 1548-nucleotide long non-coding RNA is filed under the name Manihot esculenta (cassava). RNAcentral's name for it is "long non-coding RNA (MESC_LNC001049)". Lineage: Eukaryota; Viridiplantae; Streptophyta; Magnoliopsida; Malpighiales; Euphorbiaceae. The record is from RNAcentral.